CUCCACAUACGCAUCCUUUGCUGAGGAGACGGUUAACGGAGCGAAAGCGACGUUCAACCUCAAAAGAAGCAGAGGGGGCUUAGUGGUGGGGUGACUGCGUACCUUUUGUAUAAUGGGUCAGCGACUUAUAUUCUGUAGCAAGGUUAACUGUAUAGGGGAGCCGGAGGGAAACCGAGUCUUAACCGGGCGUUAAGUUGCAGGGUAUAGACCCGAAACCCGGUGAUCUAGCCAUGGGCAGGUUGAAGGUUGGGUAACACUAACUGGAGGACCGAACCGACUAAUGUUGAAAAAUUAGCGGAUGACCUGUGGCUGGGGGUGAAAGGCCAAUCAAACCGGGAGAUAGCUGGUUCUCCCCGAAAGCUAUUUAGGUAGCGCCUCGUGAAUUCAUCUCCGGGGGUAGAGCACUGUUUCGGCUAGGGGGCCAUCCCGGCUUACCAACCCGAUGCAAACUGCGAAUACCGGAGAAUGUUAUCACGGGAGACACACGGCGGGUGCUAAUGUCCGUCGUGAAGAGGGAAACAACCCAGACCGCCAGCUAAGGUCCCAAAGUCAUGGUUAAGUGGGAAACGAUGUGGGAAGGCCCAGACAGCCAGGAUGUUGGCUUAGAAGCAGCCAUCAUUUAAAGAAAGCGUAAUAGCUCACUGGUCGAGUCGGCCUGCGCGGAAGAUGUAACGGGGCUAAACCAUGCACCGAAGCUGCGGCAGCGACACCGUGUGUUGUUGGGUAGGGGAGCGUUCUGUAAGCCUGUGAAGGUGUGCUGUGAGGCAUGCUGGAGGUAUCAGAAGUGCGAAUGCUGACAUAAGUAACGAUAAAGCGGGUGAAAAGCCCGCUCGCCGGAAGACCAAGGGUUCCUGUCCAACGUUAAUCGGGGCAGGGUGAGUCGACCCCUAAGGCGAGGCCGAAAGGCGUAGUCGAUGGGAAACGGGUUAAUAUUCCCGUACUUGGUGUUACUGCGAAGGGGGGACGGAGAAGGCUAUGUUGGCCGGGCGACGGUUGUCCCGGUUUAAGCGUGUAGGUAUGUGUUCCAGGUAAAUCCGGUUCACUUUAACACUGAGGCGUGACGACGAGGCACUACGGUGCUGAAGCAACAAAUGCCCUGCUUCCAGGAAAAGCCUCUAAGCAUCAGGUAACAUCAAAUCGUACCCCAAACCGACACAGGUGGUCAGGUAGAGAAUACCAAGGCGCUUGAGAGAACUCGGGUGAAGGAACUAGGCAAAAUGGUGCCGUAACUUCGGGAGAAGGCACGCUGACACGUAGGUGAAGUGAUUUACUCACGGAGCUGAAGUCAGCCGAAGAUACCAGCUGGCUGCAACUGUUUAUUAAAAACACAGCACUGUGCAAACACGAAAGUGGACGUAUACGGUGUGACGCCUGCCCGGUGCCGGAAGGUUAAUUGAUGGGGUCAGCGCAAGCGAAGCUCCUGAUCGAAGCCCCGGUAAACGGCGGCCGUAACUAUAACGGUCCUAAGGUAGCGAAAUUCCUUGUCGGGUAAGUUCCGACCUGCACGAAUGGCGUAAUGAUGGCCAGGCUGUCUCCACCCGAGACUCAGUGAAAUUGAACUCGCUGUGAAGAUGCAGUGUACCCGCGGCAAGACGGAAAGACCCCGUGAACCUUUACUAUAGCUUGACACUGAACAUUGAGCCUUGAUGUGUAGGAUAGGUGGGAGGCUU
This 1670-nucleotide ribosomal RNA is filed under the name Salmonella enterica. RNAcentral describes it as "partial 23S ribosomal RNA". It matches the Rfam family "Bacterial large subunit ribosomal RNA", at positions 1 to 2157 of the family's 2925-position model. Lineage: Bacteria; Pseudomonadati; Pseudomonadota; Gammaproteobacteria; Enterobacterales; Enterobacteriaceae. The record is from RNAcentral.